RNAcentral lists this ribosomal RNA (232 nucleotides) under uncultured Enterobacterales bacterium. RNAcentral's name for it is "partial 16S ribosomal RNA". It matches the Rfam family "Bacterial small subunit ribosomal RNA", at positions 99 to 334 of the family's 1533-position model. Lineage: Bacteria; Pseudomonadati; Pseudomonadota; Gammaproteobacteria; Enterobacterales. The record is from RNAcentral.
CGGACGGGUGAGUAAUGUCUGGGAAACUGCCUGAUGGAGGGGGAUAACUACUGGAAACGGUAGCUAAUACCGCAUAACGUCGCAAGACCAAAGAGGGGGACCUUCGGGCCUCUUGCCAUCAGAUGUGCCCAGAUGGGAUUAGCUUGUUGGUGGGGUAACGGCUCACCAAGGCGACGAUCCCUAGCUGGUCUGAGAGGAUGACCAGCCACACUGGAACUGAGACACGGUCCAG